Long non-coding RNA from Sphaeramia orbicularis (orbiculate cardinalfish), 441 nucleotides. RefSeq lists it as uncharacterized. The record is from RefSeq and is a predicted model, not a curated record. The transcript has 3 exons. Lineage: Eukaryota; Metazoa; Chordata; Actinopteri; Kurtiformes; Apogonidae.
UUCAACCACCAAUAUUUCCUCUAAAUCCCAUCCUAGCUCUGAUGCAGUUGGAUCCACUUUUCUAUCAUUCAUUCAUAUAAUAGUGAAAUAGUGCCUUUAAUCUGUCUGCAGCUCCAUAGAAUGACCAAACAUGACCUUUGACCUGAACUCAUUUGAACAUCAUGGUGGAAAAUCCAGUCCAAUCCUUAGGUUGGACUUUUCAAAUCUAACAGAACAUUCUGGUCCCCCUUGGAGAUUCUAUUGUUGUAAAUCUGUUCAACACACUAGAUUUAUCCAUCAAAUCUAUCAGCUGUAGAAUCUACGAGGAGGGACACAUGUUCAAUUUGAAGGACAACUGAGAAGGUUGAACACUGAUCCAUUCCAUGGAGAAGUGAACGGACCAUCCAACUGAUCACCUAAACAGGUCUGAUUUACUCAGGUUUGGUCCAGUGUUCAGAAGGU